This 253-nucleotide ribosomal RNA is filed under the name uncultured bacterium. Its description in RNAcentral is "partial 16S ribosomal RNA". It matches the Rfam family "Bacterial small subunit ribosomal RNA", at positions 524 to 776 of the family's 1533-position model. The record is from RNAcentral.
UACGUAGGGUGCGAGCGUUGUCCGGAAUUAUUGGGCGUAGAGAGCUUGUAGGCGGUUUGUCGCGUCUGCUGUGAAAAUCCGGGGCUCAACCCCGGACUUGCAGUGGGUACGGGCAGGCUAGAGUGUGGUAGGGGAGACUGGAAUUCCUGGUGUAGCGGUGAAAUGCGCAGAUAUCAGGAGGAACACCGAUGGCGAAGGCAGGUCUCUGGGCCACUACUGACGCUGAGAAGCGAAAGCAUGGGGAGCGAACAGG